Odocoileus virginianus texanus is the source of this 1053-nucleotide non-coding RNA. Lineage: Eukaryota; Metazoa; Chordata; Mammalia; Artiodactyla; Cervidae. The record is from RefSeq and is a predicted model, not a curated record.
CUCACUGGGGCCAGAGGGUCAGGCCGGGUGGACUGGAGUCAGGAGACACAGCUUCUCCGGGCCCUCUGCAGACUGUCUGGGGUUAGAUGGCUGUUGGCCAGCGUGCCGGGGGGCUGCAUCUUUCUAGGCUCUUCUGCAGGGCCAAGCCUGGAGCCUGCAGCUGGGAAUUUAACCAGGGCCCUCUGCUGGAAGUCUCAAGACUCUCUGUGGGGCAGAGUGUUUGUUGAACACCUACUAUGGACCAGUCACUGGAGAUUCAACAGCGAGUGAGAAAGAGCCCUUCUUGUCUUAAUGGAAACCAGAAGAUAACCUGUAAAGGCCCAGGGAUGGGACUGUCUGGUUGCUACGAGGGCAAGGUUUUCUAGGCACUUCUCUUUUCUCCUAGGGCUUUUCCUUCUACAUGAUGAUUGUUUUCAUUUUUUGGUAAUGUUCCUGAUUCCUUCAUGCACAAAGCUCAUGCAACCAACUGUGAGUUAAGAAGUGGGAUUUACUCAGGAUUCUAGGCUUCCACAGACCCCCUUGAUCAGCUAUUUGCCUCUACAAGGGGUCUAGCUUUGAUUAGCGGUGCACAGGAGGAUCACUAAUUUGGGAUAAGACAAAAUGGCUCACUGGGGAUCUGAACCCACUGUCUUUGGCAGCAUUAUGUCUACACUCUCACUAGGCUGAGAGUUAGGAAAAGGCCUCUAAAACCUGAUGACCCAUCUAUAACAUCUUCAAGGGAUUCUGAAGUUUUAAGGUAUGCACAUUUUGGGGAAUACACAUUAAAAGUAAGUUGACAAUAUAGCCUGCCCAAUAAUCAUAUUCUUUUAAUUUAAGCCCCUCUUUAUCAUGUCCACAAAAUCAUAUAUACUCAUUGUGAAAACUUCAACUAUUGAUGAGUAUAAGAAGAGAGCAAAUACUUAUUCCAUUGUGCAGAUGCAGAAAAGGUCAUCAUAAACAUUGGGGAACUAUCCUUCAAACAACUCUUAUAUUCACAAGUAGCCAGAGAAAUGGACAGACAAGAAUAAUUUUCUAGAAAUAGGAUCAUGCCUUACAAGCUAUUUUUUAAAGUUA